UUUGAUGGUGGCUCAGAUUGAACGCUGGCGGCAGGCCUAACACAUGCAAGUCGAGCGGUAACAGAAAUCAGCUUGCUAAUUUGCUGACGAGCGGCGGACGGGUGAGUAAUGCCUGGGAAUAUACCCUGAUGUGGGGGAUAACUAUUGGAAACGAUAGCUAAUACCGCAUAAUCUCUUCGGAGCAAAGAGGGGGACCUUCGGGCCUCUCGCGUCAGGAUUAGCCCAGGUGGGAUUGGCUAGUUGGUGGGGUAAUGGCUCACCAAGGCGACGAUCCCUAGCUGGUCUGAGAGGAUGAUCAGCCACACUGGAACUGAGACACGGUCCAGACUCCUACGGGAGGCAGCAGUGGGGAAUAUUGCACAAUGGGGGAAACCCUGAUGCAGCCAUGCCGCGUGUAUGAAGAAGGCCUUCGGGUUGUAAAGUACUUUCAGUUGUGAGGAAGGCGUUGGAGUUA
Molecule: ribosomal RNA, 454 nt
Filed under: Photobacterium sp. C06
Lineage: Bacteria; Pseudomonadati; Pseudomonadota; Gammaproteobacteria; Vibrionales; Vibrionaceae
Description: bacterial SSU rRNA
Rfam family: Bacterial small subunit ribosomal RNA
Source: RNAcentral